CCUACGGGUGGCAGCAGUGAGGAAUAUUGGUCAAUGGGCGGAAGCCUGAACCAGCCAAGUAGCGUGCGGGAUGACGGCCCUACGGGUUGUAAACCGCUUUUAUACGGGAAUAACGCCCCCCACGUGUGGCGGUCUGCAUGUACCUUGCGAAUAAGGACCGGCUAAUUCCGUGCCAGCAGCCGCGGUAAUACGGGAGGUCCGGGCGUUAUCCGGGUUUAUUGGGGUUAAAGGGAGCGUAGGCCGGACGUCAAGGUCGCUGUGAAAUGUCCGGGCUCAACCCGGGCCCUGCAGUUGAAACUGGCGGGCUUGAGUGCGCAAAAGGCAGGCGGAAUUCGUGGUGUAGCGGUGAAAUGCAUAGAUAUGACGAAGAACCCCGAUUGCGAAGGCAGCCUGCCGGGGCGCAACUGACGCUGAGGCUCGAAGGCGCGGGUAUCGAACAGGAUUAGAUACCCGAGUAGUC
RNAcentral lists this ribosomal RNA (460 nucleotides) under uncultured bacterium. RNAcentral's name for it is "partial 16S ribosomal RNA". It matches the Rfam family "Bacterial small subunit ribosomal RNA", at positions 338 to 795 of the family's 1533-position model. The record is from RNAcentral.